AAAAAGCUCCUUUAAAAAUUUAACAGAACUGGGCAUCUGCAAAAGAACUUCAAUAAACAGUAAGUUAAUAUGUAAUUUUUUAGAAGUUUAAGAAAUUUACCAAAUUGUUCGUUCGUGUGGUCUCUCGUCGUCACGUUAGGAUAUGGCACUCGAGGUUUAUAUUCUUUACCAACCAGUUUUUGCUCAUUCUGGCUUACCUCAAC
Molecule: long non-coding RNA, 203 nt
Filed under: Gossypium raimondii (Peruvian cotton)
Lineage: Eukaryota; Viridiplantae; Streptophyta; Magnoliopsida; Malvales; Malvaceae
Description: long non-coding RNA (GRAI_LNC010646)
Source: RNAcentral